UUCGGUAGAGGGUGACUGCGGAGGGAUCAUUACCGAGUUAUACAACUCAUCAACCCUGUGAACAUACCUAUAACGUUGCCUCGGCGGGAACAGACGGCCCCGUAACACGGGCCGCCCCCGCCAGAGGACCCCCUAACUCUGUUUCUAUAAUGUUUCUUCUGAGUAAACAAGCAAAUAAAUUAAAACUUUCAACAACGGAUCUCUUGGCUCUGGCAUCGAUGAAGAACGCAGCGAAAUGCGAUAAGUAAUGUGAAUUGCAGAAUUCAGUGAAUCAUCGAAUCUUUGAACGCACAUUGCGCCCGCCAGUAUUCUGGCGGGCAUGCCUGUUCGAGCGUCAUUACAACCCUCAGGCCCCCGGGCCUGGCGUUGGGGAUCGGCGGAAGCCCCCUGCGGGCACAACGCCGUCCCCCAAAUACAGUGGCGGUCCCGCCGCAGCUUCCAUUGCGUAGUAGCUAACACCUCGCAACUGGAGAGCGGCGCGGCCACGCCGUAAAACACCCAACUUCUGAAUGUUGACCUCGAAUCAGGUAGGAAUACCCGCUGAACUUAAGCAUAUCAA
This 559-nucleotide ribosomal RNA is filed under the name Fusarium equiseti. RNAcentral's name for it is "eukaryotic LSU rRNA". The stretch from base 184 to 337 matches the Rfam family "5.8S ribosomal RNA". Lineage: Eukaryota; Fungi; Ascomycota; Sordariomycetes; Hypocreales; Nectriaceae. The record is from RNAcentral.